RNAcentral lists this long non-coding RNA (668 nucleotides) under Homo sapiens (human). RNAcentral's name for it is "HSALNT0224039". Lineage: Eukaryota; Metazoa; Chordata; Mammalia; Primates; Hominidae. The record is from RNAcentral.
GGAGGACUUGGCCUGUACGGUAAGUCAAGCAAAGAAAUAAAAGGCAUACAAUUUGGAAAUAAACUGUCUUAUUUGUAGUUGAUAAAUCAUGAAUACAGAAAAUUCUAAAACAUCUACCUAAAAGGUUUUUAGAAGUUUUUAGAAUUACUAGAUACACUUAUGUAUGCAAAACAAUGUACAAAAAUCAACUGUCUUUUUAUGUACUAGCAAUAGCAAUUGUAAAUGUAAUGCAAAAACACCACUGACAAUGAUGUCAACUGUCAGGCCUCUGAGCCCAAGCUAAGCCAUCAUAUCCCCUGUGACCUGCACCUAUACAUCCAGAUGGCCUGAAGUAACUGAAGAAUCACAAAAGAAGGGAUAUUUAAAUGGUCUGUUCCUGCCUUCACUGAUGACAUUCCACCACAAAAGAAGUGAAAAUGGCCGGUCCUUGCCUUAACUGAUGACAUUACCUUGUGAAAUUCCUUCUCCUGGCUCAUCCUGGCUCAAAAAGCUCCCCAACUGAGCACCUUGUGACCCCCACUCCUGCCCGCCUGAGAACAACUCCCCCCUUUGACUGUAAUUUUCCUUUACCUACCUAAAUCCUAUAAAACGACCCCACCCAUAUCUCCUUUGGCUGACUCUCUUUUCAGACUCAGCCCGCCUGAACCCAGGUGAAAUAAACAGCCUUG